GCGUGUGUUGAAUAGGCUAGUUUGCAUACUGUUUCUAGUGGUUUUGCGGGCUGUACAGCCGUUCCCUUUGGAUUUCGUUUCACUUUUCAGAGUUCGUGGCAGAGUAGUCGGAGGACCUUUUCACGGUGAGCAAAGGAACCGAUGAGAUCCAAGAACUUCUCUUCCAUCUUGCAGACGUGACUAAAACACUCUUCAGAGGGAACAGUCACGUUGCCAAACAGUUCAUUUGGCACAUCGUGGGACCUGAGCAGGGACAUGAACUGGUCCUCAAUGACUGCCUCCAAGAGCCUCUUCAUCCUGUGAGCAGGCGUGGCAUUUUGGGACACGACAUAUGCUACGGGUUGAACCCAUGCCUUUGAUAUGCCAGAGAGCAGAAGCUGGCUCAAGGACAUCUCGUCAAACAUUAGGCAGCAUGCCCGAUCCCGUCUGCUCCAACUUUCUGUGUAAUUUUUUAUGGACUGCAUCACCCCGGGAAUGAUACCAGGCUUCAUGUUGAUAUCAGAAAUCCAUCGCCUGAUAGACCUGGGAGCUGGCAAUCUCAGGAUGCGAGCAAGAAAUCUGUAUGCCCUGGGGCCAUGAAAAUAAAGCUGGACAGCAAACUUUUUCAUUU
This is a long non-coding RNA of Ornithodoros turicata, 610 nucleotides long. RefSeq lists it as uncharacterized. The record is from RefSeq and is a predicted model, not a curated record. The transcript has 4 exons. NCBI's taxonomy places the organism in Eukaryota, Metazoa, Arthropoda, Arachnida, Ixodida, Argasidae.